Molecule: transfer RNA, 71 nt
Filed under: Trichechus manatus latirostris (Florida manatee)
Lineage: Eukaryota; Metazoa; Chordata; Mammalia; Sirenia; Trichechidae
Description: tRNA-Glu (TTC) (tRNA-Glu-TTC-23-1)
Rfam family: tRNA
About the family: Transfer RNA (tRNA) molecules are approximately 80 nucleotides in length. Their secondary structure includes four short double-helical elements and three loops (D, anti-codon, and T loops).
Source: Rfam by way of RNAcentral
GCAUUGGUAGUUUAGUGAUAGAAUUCUUGCCUUUCAUACAAGAGACCUGGGUUCAAUUCCUGGCCAAUGCA